UGGUUUUAUAUGAGGGCAUCCACCCGCGUUUUAAGAUUUCCUCGUUAAGGGAUGGGGAUGCGUCCGAUUAACUUUUUUAGCGGGGUAGCACCCCCAAAGCUACGAUCCAUAAGGGGUUGCUGAGAGAAGGUCCCCCCACAUUGGAAUUGAGACACGGCCAAUCCCUACGAGAGGCAGCAGUGAGGAAUAUUUUAAAAUGGGGAGAGAGCCUGAACCCACCAAGUAGCGUGCAGGAAGACGGCCCCUAUGGGGUUGAAAAACCGCUUUUUAUGCGGGGAUAAAGAGAGGGGACGUGUCCCCUCAUUGCAGGUAACGCAAGAAUAAGGCCCGGGGCAAAUUCCCGUCCCAGCAGCCGCGGUAAUACGGAAAGGUCCUGGCUUUAUCCGGAUUUAUUGGGUAUAAAGAGAGCAUAGCCCCGUGGAUUAAAGCGUGUUGUGAAACGCAGGUGCUAAACGUCCGCACUGCAGCGCGAACUUGUCCACUUGAGUGUGCGCAACGCAGGCGGAAUUCGUCGUGUAGCGGAGAAAUGCUUAUAUAUGACGAAGAACUCCGAUUGCGAAGGCAGCCUGCGGGAGCACAACUGACGCUGAAGCUCGAAAGUGCGGGUAUCGAACAGG
Molecule: ribosomal RNA, 617 nt
Filed under: Prevotella melaninogenica
Lineage: Bacteria; Pseudomonadati; Bacteroidota; Bacteroidia; Bacteroidales; Prevotellaceae
Description: bacterial SSU rRNA
Rfam family: Bacterial small subunit ribosomal RNA
Source: RNAcentral